GACGAACGCUGGCGGCGUGCUUAACACAUGCAAGUCGAGCGGUAAGGCCCUUUCGGGGGUACACGAGCGGCGAACGGGUGAGUAACACGUGGGUGACCUGCCCUCAGCUCUGGGAUAAGCCUGGGAAACUGGGUCUAAUACUGGAUAUGACUCCACGGUGCAUGUCGUGGGGUGGAAAGCCUUGUGCGGCUGAGGAUGGGCCCGCGGCCUAUCAGCUUGUUGGUGGGGNGAUGGCCUACCAAGGCGACGACGGGUAGCCGGCCUGAGAGGGCGACCGGCCACACUGGGACUGAGACACGGCCCAGACUCCUACGGGAGGCAGCAGGUGGGGAAUUCUUGCGCAAUGGGCGAAAGCCCUGACGCAGCGACGCCGCGUGAGGGAUGACGGCCU
RNAcentral lists this ribosomal RNA (391 nucleotides) under uncultured bacterium. RNAcentral's name for it is "bacterial SSU rRNA". It matches the Rfam family "Bacterial small subunit ribosomal RNA", at positions 28 to 417 of the family's 1533-position model. The record is from RNAcentral.